This 807-nucleotide ribosomal RNA is filed under the name Triticum aestivum (bread wheat). RNAcentral's name for it is "partial small subunit ribosomal RNA". The record is from RNAcentral. Lineage: Eukaryota; Viridiplantae; Streptophyta; Magnoliopsida; Poales; Poaceae.
AUGGAGGAGACUCGACGCCUCGUCGGAGUCGGACCAGCGCCGCCUGGGUGCUAUGAGCCAGCUGCGCGUGCUAAGAAGGCCAAGGACGCGCGGUCCAUGGAAUCCGACGACAUGGCGACCAAGACCAACUACAGCGCCGCCGCUGCCGCAUCGGAGGACUCUCGUCGCCUCCUUGAAUCCGAAUCAGCGGCUAGGCCUUUCGUGCUGCCUGGUCCGGCUGAUGAGGAAGUAAAGUCAAGGUGGGCGGCGGCUGGCCGCCGCCGCGCGUGCAACUGGCUGCGGCGGCUGCUCCGUUCGCCUCCUCUCCAUCCUCCCCCCCGACUUCAGCUGUACAACGCCGCCCAUCCGGGUGAUGAGUACGAACCUGCUCCUGGUAAGCUCAUUGAUAGAGGUGACGACGAUGAAGUUCUCACAUGCAUCCCCCUAGGUUGGUAUCUACUUGCUAGCUUGAUGUACCCUUACCUCCCUGUUGCCAUGGCAUGCACCAUAUGUACUUUAAAGAACCAUUGGGUUUUCAUCAUCUGGAGAGAUGAACCAGUUACUGAAGCCUACGUUUUCCUUGGUAUCCCUCUUGGACGGGGUACCCGUCGUAAUGGUGAAUUGGACUGUGUUUGCAAGACAUGCUACCGUCGAUUUCAUGUCCCACAUGCUGGUCUGACGAGGAAAUGUGGAUGUGAAGAUAGCAAGGUGGAGAGGGUAUGUAAAAUGUGCUAUCUUGACGCCGAUGUGUUGCAUCCCUUCCGAGGAGGAUUCCGUUUUGGCCAUCACCAAGAGAGCUUUGUAAAGCGUUACUGCUCCUACUACUGA